CAGGAAUCCAUUCCACAGUUUGCAGCCAGCUAGCAGGCUAGCAGGCUAGCAGACUAGCAGGCUAGCAGACUAGCAGGCUAGCGCUGAGGCUAGACUGUUUAGCACGGCAGCCAAUACCGUCACCGGAGGUCGUCAUGGUUACUUUAUGAUUCCACUGUGUCUCUGUUAGUGCCAUCAUAAUUAUGAUGUCAGCGUGACGCUUUAGUUAGUGACAUCUUCAUCAUGAUGUGACGGUUAAAGACAUCAUCAGUGACAUCAUUAUGGACCGGAGGUCGUCAUGGUUACUUUAUGAUUCCACUGUGUCUCUGUUACUCUGUCAUUAUGGACCGGAAUUGUUUAUCAACGAUGCCUUGCAGAGAUGGAUCCCCCGACCUCCCACUCUCCGCCAGGAGAAGGAGAGUGGCUCGCCGCACUCGCAGACGAAGAAGAAGGAUCAUCCGACGAAGAAGAAGAAGAAGGAUCAUCCGACGAAGAAGAAGAAGGAUCAUCCGACAAAUAAGAAGGAUCACGCGACGAAGAAGAAUGCUCAUGCGACGCCUCGCAGAACUGGAUCCCCCAACCUCCCACUCCCAUUUCCCUGGCUCCCAUCUAGGAGGAGGGGAUUGCCCCCCCGCAUUCGCAGGCUCCUUAUCAUGGUCGUCCGACGAAGAAGAAGGAUCAUCCGACGAAUAAGGAUCAUGCGACGCCGCGCAGAAUUCCAACAGACAAGCCGACGUUAGGUUUCCAUCGAUCGUUGUUCUUUCUGGACCCUGUUCCUGCUUCCUACCGUGGCCCUGCUGACACCUGCUGCUGCCAUCAUCAUCAUUAUUAUUUUCAAAUAUUAAUCAUAUUACUAUUACUGUCAUCAUAAACCAACAUUACCCUUGGUAAGUGAGUGGGAUCCGUCCUCUGACGUUCUCACUAAGGUUUCUUCCCUUUUUUCCCCAUGAAAGGGUUUUUGUGACGCGUCUAUGACGGCGUCAUGCUGCUUUUGCUACUAUCAGGUGAUGGAUCAGCAGUUUUGGAACCUUGGGAACACAGUUUGAAUACUUGUACUCGGCUGUACUCCGGGGAUCACAUGAUUAUUCUCCUGGUCGACAUACGGCCGACACUUGUCUCGACUAGCUUACCCGUUUAGAUAAACGCCCAGGGACACACUGUGAGCAGAACCCGCUUUAACACUGGAAUGAUAUUGUAAUGCCUGAGGUGAAGUAUGAGUGUGGACAUGUCUGCGACCGUUGACGUUAUACCUGAAUAUGGUAGUGGGGGACAUUGUGUGAUGGUUCGUGUUCAUGUUAAACCUGUCCAUCUCCCGGACACCAGCAGCUUGUUUGUGAGGAGCUUUCCUGGAAUACCUGGAGGGGGACACAAAUGUCCACCUCGACUGAAGGACCAACCAAGGAUCAACUGGCAUUGGUAAAAGGUGACGGUGACCUGUACUGCAUCUCUGAUUGGCUGACACCCAGAACCUGCAGACAAAACACAAACUGUCAUUCUGUUGCAGCACCGUUAGGACUCUCUGUACCAGUCAAAGGUCUCAUUCAAUUGAACGAGAAAGUGCGUCCAGCCUUUUGACUGGUACUGUACAUCCCUGUGUGUGCGUUGUGAGGUUAUGGGGUUUGUGUGCCAGGCGAGCGUUUGGCUCACACUGAGCUGUUGAGACAGAGUCCUUCCGAGUAGCCAUGUGGUUCACAGCGAAGUGUUCCCAGGAGUAGCUGUGUAGCUAAAGUCUGUCUCUGUUUUUGUUGGACGCCACAUUGGAACCCAACCUGAACCCGUGUUUACUCUGAGGCUCUGUGGAUCGCAGGAUACGCAAAACACAGCCAGAGAUGAACAGACAUUUGUGAAACACACACACACACCCAUACACAAGUGUACCUGUGUAGUACAGGCACGCACAAACUGAGCGCUAUGCACCUACGCACAAAGUCACACUGACCAGCCAAACAUGUCUUGAUUUACGUCUCUCACUCUGGCCAUAAUCUCCGUGUUUUCGUCCAACAGCAGAAGCAAUUAGUGCUGACAUUUGUUUUUGCAUCAACAUUCCAAAGCUGACGAGUUGCUUCCCUUCGGACUGAAAAUGCGAUGGCCAUGUGUGUGCUCGCGCUGCCGUUUCCCACGCCGCUUUUGCCUUUCGCGGUCGCAUGCGACGUUUAAAGGCUAUCGUCGUGGGCACCUUUCGCACGUAUGUUCCACAGUUUCUGUCGCUGACAAACACAGGGUUGCUAUGCGCCGGGGCGUGACGCGGUGAAGCAGCAGCUCCACCUUCAGACUCUGCAACAUGCACUGAAAUGUGCCGCUCAACUGCAAACUGUCUGCACCCGACCCGUCCUCGUGCAGCAGCUGUUAAGAGUCCAACAUUAGCUUUCUGCGCACAAGCUGACACCAAAAACAAACCCGUUGAUGACGUUAAAAGUCGUUGACCCCGCUUACCUUGUCACACUAGAAAGUCACGUGAAAGCUAAACCUACAGUUUCAGGAUUACCGAAAGGACCUGAC
Long non-coding RNA from Gasterosteus aculeatus aculeatus (three-spined stickleback), 2478 nucleotides. The record is from Ensembl. NCBI's taxonomy places the organism in Eukaryota, Metazoa, Chordata, Actinopteri, Perciformes, Gasterosteidae.